This 2860-nucleotide long non-coding RNA is filed under the name Callithrix jacchus (white-tufted-ear marmoset). Its description in RNAcentral is "lncRNA (ENSCJAG00000072626.1)". The record is from RNAcentral. Lineage: Eukaryota; Metazoa; Chordata; Mammalia; Primates; Cebidae.
AUGCUUUUGUCAACGGCAGAAGGGCGACCUGCGGAGCCAGGAGCAGGCGGGGGCGCUGCAGGGCCGCGGCCAUCUCCACGGGAAGUUAACGUUUCCGGUGAAGUCCGCCCAGCGGUUCCGAGACAGGGUCUCACUCUGCUGCCCAGCCUGGAGUGUGGUCACAUGAUCUCAGCUCACUGCAGCCUCUACCUCCUGGCUCAAGUGAUCCUCUCACCUCAGCCUCACUUUUGGUAACCCAUAGAAGCAUUUGAUCAGAGAUGUGAAUGCAGUUUUUAAGAAGAUCAUCUGACAGUGUCGUACAGAUAACUGCAGUAAGAAAAUACACACCAGUGAGAUGAGGUAGGAAGCAAGAACAAUUGUCCCCACAUGGGAGGUGACAAAGAUUAUUAUUUUUCUGUCAUGUUUAGAGUAUUGUUUCAACUGAAAUGAUUUACCUUGCUAAAUUGCGAAUGGCUUUAUAAUUUCUUCCCAAAUUUACUUUUACUAACAGAACAAUGAAUGUCACAUUGAUCCAUGUUUUAUUUAAAUCUUCUAACUCAACUAGAGCCUGAAUUUUCAUGCUAUAUUUGGCAGGGACAACUGUCAUCAUCAUUUUGUAAAAUACUGCUCGAAAAUGAAAAUUCAAAAUGUAGUUACAAUUGUCUUUGAAGUUUGUCAGUACUGUUCUGUGAUAAUUCUGAGAAGGAAGAUAAACUCAGCCUAUGAAAAAAGAAGAAAGGAACUGAGCUAUUUAAUCUUCUUAUACUGACAAUUGGAAGCUAUGAUAAUUCUUUACAUUGUGUGCACCUAGUACUUUCCCAUGACGAGGCUUAGACAUCCUUGAGAACUUCAGUAUAUUGUAAUAGGUGUCUGUUUGUGACCAAGAUGAUACUUUUACUUUACCUUUCAAUACAUAUUAUGUAUCUUUCAUCCUUAGACUAUCAGAUGGUUAUUUUAGCACAAUACACAUGUGGAAUGUUCACAUAUUUUUUCUUCCUUGCGUCUAGGUUAUGUUCACAGACAAAUGCAUUAACAGGAAAAGCUGUUGAAGAGAUUUUUCCAUUCAUGGAUUUUAAAGAGAAAGGAUGAAAAAUCAGAGUCCUCUUAAGGAUUAAGCAAAGGAUUGGGUAUGUAUUGUAUUGGAGAAUCUUACCGAUUUGCAUAUACAGUACAGGAUUUGGCUUGGUAUAAAUAUUUAUGUGUAUACUUUAUAAAGAAUAACAGAAAAUGUUUCCACUUUUACAAAUGCAAAAAUAGAGAACAUCUGGUAGAGAGUAAUUAUAUUAGUAUUCGUCACAUUAUAAUAUUUAUAAUAAAGAAAGGUGUGCAUUCUAAAUAUUUAUUUUGUUCUGAAAAAUAACAUUUGUUAGUGGCAGAAAUUAUGCAGCAAGAAAAUUAGGAUAUAUUAGAUAGUUUUAUUGCUAUACUUCAGGGAUGUGAAGGAGGCUUUUGUGAUUUACCACAGACCUUAUGAAAGAACAGGAAGCUUAAAUUUGAGCCUCUUCACUUUAUUUAUUUAUGUAUUUGAGACAGACUCUAGCUCUCUGGCCAGGCUGGAGUGCAGUGGCGCAAUCUCAGCUCACUGCAACUGCCACCUUCUGGGUUCAAGUGAUUCUUCUGCUUCAAUCUCCCAAGUAGCUGGGAUUACAGGUGCACCACCACACCCAGCAAAAUUUUCUGUAUUUUCAGUAUAGACAGGGUUUCACCGUGUUGGUCAGGCUUGUCUUGAAUUCCUGACCUUAAGGGAUCUUCCUGCCUUGGCUUCCCAAAGUGCUGGGAUUACAGGUGUGAGCCACUGUGCCUGGCCGUCUGUUCACUCUAAAUAACACUAUAUACUCAUACAAAAAUUCUUACAUCUCAGAUCAAUAAAAUACUUGAAUAUCGUGAUACAUUUUCUGUGCUCUUUGAACAAUAAUUUGUCAAAGUUAAUAUUUUUCACUGGGAAUGAAUAUAGACUGUACAUUUAUUUUUUGGGUCGUUAGUAUACUUUAAAUUCUGGGGUACAUGUGCAGAUCAUGAAGGUUUGUUACAUAGGUGUACACGUGCCAUGGUGGUGGUUUGCUGCAUCCAUUGCCCUAUUAUCUACAUCAAGUAUUUCUCCUAAAGCUUUCCAUCCCCAAUCACCCCACACCCUGCUAUUCCUCCGCUAGUCCCCCAGCCCCCAGGCCCCAGUGUGUGAUGUUCCCUUCUCUAGGUCCGUGUGUUCUCAUUGUUAAACACCUACUUAUAUGUGAGAACUUAUAGGUGUUUGGUUUCGUAUUCUGGUAUCAGUUAGGUAAGAAUGAUGAUUUCCAGUUUCAUCCAUAUCCCUGCAAAGGAAAGGAACUCAUCGUUUUUUAUAGCUGUGUAGUAUUCCAUGGUAUAUAUGUGCCACAUUUUCUUUAUCCAGUCUAUCAUUGAUGGGCAUUUGGGUUGGUUCCAAGUCUUUACUAUUGUGAACAGUGCUGCAAUAAACAUAUGUGUGCAUUUGGCUUUAUAAUAAAAUGAUUUAUAAUCCUUUGGGUAUAUACUCAGUAAUGGGAUUGCUGGGCCAAAUGAUAUUUCUAUUUCUAGAUCUUUGAGGAAUCGCCACUCUCUAUUCCACAAUGGUUGAGUUAAUUUACACUCCCACCAACAGUGUAAAAGUGUUCCUAUUUCUCCACAUCCUCUGCAGCGUCUGUUGUCUCCUUUUUUUUUUUAUGAUUGCUAUACUAACUGGCGUGAGAUGGUAUCUCAAUGUGGUUUUGAUUUACAUUUCUAUAAUGACCAGUGAUGAGUUUUUUUUCAUAUGUUUGUUGGCUGCAUAAAUGUCUUCUUUAGAAAAGUGUCUAUUCAUAUCCUUUGGCCACUUUUUGAUGGGGUUGUUUUUAUCUUGUAAAUUUAAGUUUGCCAUAGAUUCUGU